RNAcentral lists this ribosomal RNA (440 nucleotides) under uncultured bacterium. Its description in RNAcentral is "bacterial SSU rRNA". It matches the Rfam family "Bacterial small subunit ribosomal RNA", at positions 29 to 513 of the family's 1533-position model. The record is from RNAcentral.
AACGAACGCUGGCGGCAUGCCUAACACAUGCAAGUCGAACGAAGUCUUCGGACUUAGUGGCGCACGGGUGCGUAACGCGUGGGAAUCUGCCCUUGGGUGCGGAAUAACUUCUCGAAAGGGAUGCUAAUACCGCAUAAUGUCGUAAGACCAAAGAUUUAUCGCCCAAGGAUGAGCCCGCGUAAGAUUAGCUAGUUGGUGGGGUAAAAGCCUACCAAGGCGACGAUCUUUAGCUGGUCUGAGAGGAUGAUCAGCCACACUGGGACUGAGACACGGCCCAGACUCCUACGGGAGGCAGCAGUGGGGAAUAUUGGACAAUGGGCGAAAGCCUGAUCCAGCAAUGCCGCGUGAGUGAUGAAGGCCCUAGGGUUGUAAAGCUCUUUUACCCGAGAUGAUAAUAGACAGUAUCGGGAGAAUAAGCUCCGGCUAACUCCGUGCCAGCA